AAUUCCCUUUUUGAUCCUGCCAUUACCCAUAUGCUUCUUUCAAGGGCUAACCCAUGCAUGUCUCAAAGCAAAUGGUUAAAAACAGUGGGUCUGUGAAUGGCUCCUUACAUCACCAGUCACCUGGGUGGUAAUUCCAACACAGUGGGACAUCCUCCAAAACCUGGUGGCUAAUACCCAAAUCAACUGGCCCACACAAAAGGAAGGGUGUACAAUUGUGCACUCUGUGUGUGGAGCUUGCUACCACCUUAAAUACAAACUGGCACCCACAACCUGACCCUAUCAAAUUUGUACAGGGUAAAUUGUUGUUGACCCAGGCUGGUGACACUAACAGCUUUGGCACUCUUAAAUGGUGUUCAAUUACACCACUUGCUUGACCACCCGGGCUUCUGACCUAUCAGCUAGAC
Molecule: ribosomal RNA, 404 nt
Filed under: uncultured eukaryote
Lineage: Eukaryota
Description: bacterial SSU rRNA
Rfam family: Eukaryotic small subunit ribosomal RNA
Source: RNAcentral